GCUGGGCAUAGUGGCGGCUGCCUGUAAUCCCAGCUACUUGGGAGGCUGAGGCAGGAGAACCGCUUGAACCCGGGAGGCGGAGGAUGCAGUGAGCCGAGAUCAUGCCACUGCACUCUAGCCUGGGCAACAGAGUGAGACUCUGUCUCAU
RNAcentral lists this non-coding RNA (148 nucleotides) under Nomascus leucogenys (northern white-cheeked gibbon). The record is from Rfam by way of RNAcentral. Lineage: Eukaryota; Metazoa; Chordata; Mammalia; Primates; Hylobatidae.